GGCUCAGGAUGAACGCUGGCGGCAGGCUUAACACAUGCAAGUCGAACGGUCCUUCGGGAUAGUGGCGGACGGGUGAGUAACACGUGGGAACGUACCCUUAGGUUCGGAACAACACAGGGAAACUUGUGCUAAUACCGGAUGAGCCCUUCGGGGGAAAGAUUUAUCGCCUUUGGAGCGGCCCGCGUCUGAUUAGCUAGUUGGUGAGGUAAUGGCUCACCAAGGCGACGAUCAGUAGCUGGUCUGAGAGGAUGGCCAGCCACACUGGGACUGAGACACGGCCCAGACUCCUACGGGAGGCAGCAGUGGGGAAUA
RNAcentral lists this ribosomal RNA (312 nucleotides) under uncultured rumen bacterium. Its description in RNAcentral is "bacterial SSU rRNA". It matches the Rfam family "Bacterial small subunit ribosomal RNA", at positions 21 to 363 of the family's 1533-position model. The record is from RNAcentral.